GCCCCCUCAGCGGCGGCCGGUGAACAGAAAGUCCGAAGCCCACCCUUUGCCGCGUCCCAAGUUGCGGUUCUCUUGACUUUCUGGGAGAUGCUAGAAUCGUGGUCAUAAAAAGAAUGGCGUCCAUUUACAUAAUGCUUUGUUCGCGUUUUGCAAGUUUUUUUUUUUUCGGUGAAACCCGCAGAAACUCCACCUGCUGCUUUUGGGGCGUUUGAACCACAGCAGCCUGUCAGACCGUGGGGACAAUAGUGUGCUGCUGUGGAGGCCGCGCGGGUGCCGACCCCGGCUUUGGAGAGUUCCUGCGGGUUUUCCCGCCGCUCCACGCUCCCGCCGCAGCCUCUCGACCCUGUUCCCCUCGGGGCGGCCCCCAGCGGAACCCGCCAUCUUGGAAGGCCUUUCCCUCCGACCUCCUCCGCCGAGGAAAUGUCGCUAGAGACGUUGAUCUCCGAGUUGUAAUUUCUGCCCUUUCCCCUUCCUCCGGCCGAGCCAGGCUACUAGAGGCCGGGCGCGCAACGGGCCUCAGGGUCCCUCCGGGAGGCGGCUAACGUGGCACUCCCCCGCUCCCUUCCCCACGGCGGCGGCCAUGUUUCUGGAACACAAAAUGGCGACACGUGGCCUGGAUUCGUUGCCAAAGAGAAAGUGGGGUCGGCUGGAAAGCUCUAGAAUGCACCCCCCACCCCCCCAAGGCCUUCCCCGCAUCGCGAGUUUUAUGCCGGCUGGAGAUAAAAUCCCGGGGACUGGUCUGACUCUGGGGGCGGGGUGGGGGUAGAGCGAAUUGUAAGCCCCCUCCAUUUAAUUAGAAACAGGAACGCGAGUAACUGAAAUGUAGGCUUAGUAUUGGGCCUCUCGCUCUUUUUGAAAUUGAUAAUGGAUGAUGGGGACAGUGCCAGAGGAUAAUUUGAACUGACCCCCAACACCACCACCACUAGAACAGUUAGAAAGCCCUGCUUUACGGAAUGAGAGGAUGACACUUAAAAAAACAAAGAGGUGAAGUGACUAAUUCAAGGUCACACAGUGUCGGGGAUGGAAUCCAGACCUCAUUUCUUUACUGACCUGCACUGUUUUGUGGAUACGUGAGUGAAUUCCACACUACCUGUUUUAUAGAUGAAGCCACUGAGAUACGGAACAACUGACUGAACAGUCACCGCCCCACCCUGGAGCUUCACAUGACUCUUCCUUCCACUUGAGGGACCACAGAUUCAUCAAGGGGGUUAACAAGGCUGGGAAGGUACUUUUCCUUGUAUUACAUGAAGGAAAUGAGAUACUAGAAUUCCAUCCCAGGCUACUGAAUGAGCUAGUAGCUAGGCCAAUCCCUCGGAACUAUACAGGAUAAAUAAAUCCAUCUUCCACAUUCCAAUCUUGUGAACCUUAGAAGACAAUCUUUCUAUUAUAAGAUAAUCUCAGCCUCUCUAUGACAGCUUCAGUUACCAUCUACACAUCGAUGAUUCCCAAAUCUUUCUCCAGACCAGAAUAUCCAUCUGCUCACAUGGACAUCACCAUGGAAUGUCUUACAGACAUUACAAAAUGCAGCCCUUCGUUUUUUCCCGCUUGCUCCUUCUCCAGUGUCCUGUCAUACACAUUAUAAAAAUAGCAUGCAGCAGCUGAAGCCCAAAUCUAGUAGCUAUUGGCUCAACUAGCUUAUCUUCGAAACACGUUUCCUGUACAGAAGCCUGUAGCAGUCAUGGAGCUCCUUUUAGUUGGGACAUGGCCUUGUAACACCGUGGUUAAGAAUAUGUCUCUAGACACAGCCUUUUGGGGCCUGAAUUCUCACUCAGUCAUUUACUAUCCGUGUGACUUUUGUGAGUGCAUACAUCCUAUGGCAAAAACCAAAAAAGAAGAAAAAAAGUCCUAAAAGAUUAUGAUGUCUUUUAAUCCUCAGUAUGUGCAAGAACAGUAUUAAAUGCAAAGUCAGUAUAAAGAAAUCCAGCAAAGUAUAAGGAAUAUGGAGGAAAAUUCUGAUUUUUACCAUGGUGGCUAUUUUGAUAAUAUAAAAUCUUUUAAAGUAUUUGUUGUUGUCUCUUCUUUGCCAGUUCUCUAAGCACUUGAUUUUAGGUAACCCUGCCUGGAUCAACCCUCCUUCACCCUAGACUUAACAUCAAGUUCCUCUAAGCACCACCUGCUGAAUCUACCAUCCAUCCUUCCCUC
Long non-coding RNA from Tupaia belangeri chinensis (Chinese tree shrew), 2142 nucleotides. RefSeq lists it as uncharacterized. The transcript has 9 exons. The record is from RefSeq and is a predicted model, not a curated record. NCBI's taxonomy places the organism in Eukaryota, Metazoa, Chordata, Mammalia, Scandentia, Tupaiidae.